UGAAAAGCCCAACAAGCGAAAGCCCUCUGGU
This 31-nucleotide non-coding RNA is filed under the name Mus musculus (house mouse). The record is from RNAcentral. Lineage: Eukaryota; Metazoa; Chordata; Mammalia; Rodentia; Muridae.